RNAcentral lists this ribosomal RNA (388 nucleotides) under Staphylococcus argenteus. RNAcentral describes it as "partial 23S ribosomal RNA". It matches the Rfam family "Bacterial large subunit ribosomal RNA", at positions 1 to 382 of the family's 2925-position model. Lineage: Bacteria; Bacillati; Bacillota; Bacilli; Caryophanales; Staphylococcaceae. The record is from RNAcentral.
GAUUAAGUUAUUAAGGGCGCACGGUGGAUGCCUUGGCACUAGAAGCCGAUGAAGGACGUUACUAACGACGAUAUGCUUUGGGGAGCUGUAAGUAAGCUUUGAUCCAGAGAUUUCCGAAUGGGGAAACCCAACAUGAGUUAUGUCAUGUUAUCGAUAUGUGAAUACAUAGCAUAUCAGAAGGCACACCCGGAGAACUGAAACAUCUUAGUACCCGGAGGAAGAGAAAGAAAAUUCGAUUCCCUUAGUAGCGGCGAGCGAAACGGGAAGAGCCCAAACCAACAAGCUUGCUUGUUGGGGUUGUAGGACACUCUAUACGGAGUUACAAAGGACGACAUUAGACGAAUCAUCUGGAAAGAUGAAUCAAAGAAGGUAAUAAUCCUGUAGUCGA